RNAcentral lists this ribosomal RNA (1351 nucleotides) under uncultured bacterium. RNAcentral's name for it is "bacterial SSU rRNA". It matches the Rfam family "Bacterial small subunit ribosomal RNA", at positions 69 to 1399 of the family's 1533-position model. The record is from RNAcentral.
AGCGAGUGUUGAACAUUAGUUAGUGGCGGACGGGUGAGUAACGCGUGGGCAACCUACCCAUAAGCGGGGGAUAACAGCUGGAAACGGCUGCUAAUACCGCAUAAGCUAGACAGGACACAUGAACUGUUUAGUAAAGAUGGCCUCUUAACAAAGCUAUCACUUAUGGAUGGGCCCGCGUCUGAUUAGCUAGUUGGUGGGAUAGCGGCCUACCAAGGCGACGAUCAGUAGCCGGCCUGAGAGGGUGGACGGCCACACUGGGACUGAGACACGGCCCAGACUCCUACGGGAGGCAGCAGUGGGGAAUAUUGCGCAAUAGGGGAAACCCUGACGCAGCGACGCCGCGUGAGCGAAGAAGGCCUUAGGGUUGUAAAGCUCUGUUGUAAGGGAAGAAGAGCCCGGGUGAAAACAUUGCCUGGGAGUGACGGUACCUUACUAGAAAGCCCCGGCUAACUAUGUGCCAGCAGCCGCGGUAAGACAUAGGGGGCGAGCGUUGUCCGGAAUUACUGGGCGUAAAGAGCACGUAGGCGGGUAAAUAAGUCAGAUGUGAAAGACCGCAGCUCAACUGCGGGGUUGCAUUUGAAACUGUAUAUCUUGAGGGCAGGAGAGGACAGUAGAAUUCCUGGUGUAGCGGUGAAAUGCGUAGAAAUCAGGAGGAAUACCAGUGGCGAAGGCGACUGUCUGGACUGACCCCGACGCUGAGGUGCGAAAGCGUGGGUAGCAAACAGAAUUAGAUACCCUGGUAGUCCACGCCGUAAACGAUGGAUACAAGGUGUAGGAGGUAUCGACCCCUUUUGGUCCGGCAGCAACCGCCAAUAAGUAUCCCCGCCUGGGGAGUACGGUCGCCAAGGCUGAAACUCAAAGGAAUGACGGGGGGCCCGCACAAGCGUUGGAGCAUGUGUUUAAUUCGAUGCAACGCGAAGAACUUACCAGGUCUUGACAUCUGUAGACCCCUGAUGAAAGUAGGGGGUGCCUUCGGGAGCUACGAGACAGGUGGUGCAUGGUGUUCGUCAGCUCGUGUCGUGAGAUGUUGGGUUAAGUCCCGCAACGAGCGCAACCCCUGCUAUUAGUUGCUAACAUUAAGGAUGAGCACUCUAAUGGGACCGCCUGUGACAAGCAGGAGGAAGGUGGGGAUGACGUCAAAUCAUCAUGCCCUUUAUGAUCUGGGCUACACACGUGCUACAAUGGAUGGUACAGAGGGCAGCGAAGCCGCAAGGUGAAGCGAAUCUCAAAAAGCCAUUCUCAGUUCGGAUUGCAGUCUGCAACUCGACUGCAUGAAGUCGGAAUCGCUAGUAAUCGCGAAUCAGCAUGUCGCGGUGAAUGCGUUCCCGGGCCUUGUACUCAGCGCCCGUCA